GUGAGGAAUUUUCCGCAAUGGGCGAAAGCCUGACGGAGCAAUGUCGCGUGAAGGAUGAAGGCCUAUGGGUUGUAAACUUCUUUUCUCAGAAAAGAAUUAUGACGGUAUCUGAGGAAUAAGCAUCGGCUAACUCUGUGCCAGCAGCCGCGGUAAGACAGAGGAUGCAAGCGUUAUCCGGAAUGAUUGGGCGUAAAGCGUCUGUAGGUUGUUUAAAAAGUAUUCUGUCAAAGAUUAGGGCUUAACCCUAGAUAGGCAGAAUAAACUUUUAAGCUAGAGUUUGGUAGAGGCAGAGGGAAUUCCCGGUGGAGCGGUGAAAUGCGUAGAUAUCGGGAGGAACACCAAAGGCGAAGGCACUCUGCUGGGCCAAUACUAACACUGAGAGACGAAAGCGAGGGGAGCAAAUGGGAUUAGAUACCCUUGUAGUCC
RNAcentral lists this ribosomal RNA (426 nucleotides) under uncultured bacterium. RNAcentral's name for it is "partial 16S ribosomal RNA". It matches the Rfam family "Bacterial small subunit ribosomal RNA", at positions 354 to 796 of the family's 1533-position model. The record is from RNAcentral.